RNAcentral lists this transfer RNA (74 nucleotides) under Shewanella putrefaciens. RNAcentral's name for it is "tRNA-Gly". The record is from RNAcentral. Lineage: Bacteria; Pseudomonadati; Pseudomonadota; Gammaproteobacteria; Alteromonadales; Shewanellaceae.
ACCGCAAGGAUCUCUGCUGCAAGUAACCCUAGAAUAAAACCGUCUUUAUCCGUGCACCAAGUAGUGCCAUCUCG